GCAGGGAAGAAUUCAAGAUGGCGUGUUUAGGAGCUCUAGCUCCUUGACAAAUUAGUAAAAUGUUAGUCUUAGGAGAAGAACGAAAAGGCUCUCCUAGACUAAGAAACAGCAUACACAGUGAGAAACCUCAGAAGAAAUAAAAUUCAAGGAAGAUAGCAACAACGAAAACAUCAGAAGGAACACUAAAGUAGUCAAAUCAGCUUAGCAGAAACAAACUAAGUACGUUAACCAAUGGAAAACUGACGGAGAGAAAUAAACUGUUUUUGCACGCUAAAUGGAAAUGACUUUUGAAUUAUCUGCUUUGGAAGAUUAUCCAUGACACUGUUCUGCCCUGCUCUGCUCUAACAACAUUUGCUUGGGCCCACCAUCUGGUUUUGCCAUGAUUACCUGAUCCACUCUAAGUACAGUGACUGCAGCAUUAGCAGCGAGUUUGAUAGACCAGUGUUUUCCCAGUGCUAUUAUGCCUGCCUGAAAUGCCUUCUUUCCUCUUAACUCUGCGAAGCCUGUUCAUUUUUAAGACCCAGAUCAAGACUGCCUCCUCCAUAAAGAAACCGCUGACUAUUCAGGCUGACAAUUUUCUCUCCAUCCUCUGAAUUUCUCUAGCACUUAUCACCUGUAGAACUCAUUAAAAAUCAUGUACUGGUAAAGUUGAAAGCAGCUGGAGACCAUUUAAUCUAAAACCCUCAUUCUCUUGCCAUUGACAUUGUUGGCAUUAUUACAAAAACCCCUGCUAUUUAUCAUUUUUAUUGAUAUUAAACUUUCUACACUCCUAAUUUCUGUCUCUUCAAAUGUGUUUUCUCAAGGAUAGGAGAUAAAGCCUACACAUCCACAGCAGAUUAUCAUCACUUCCAUUUAUUGGGAUUUGUGACCUUUAAGUCAUUGUGCUAGGUCCUUCAUCUAUAUUACAACAACCUCUUGAGGAAAGUAUUAUUACACCCAUGUUAUAGAUGAGGGGCAUGGAAAGGAUGAAUAACUUGCCUGAGAUCACAGAGCUAGUAAGUGGCAGAGGUGAAUUUCCAACCCAGGUCUGACUAACUCCAAAGCCUGUGCUUAAGAAAUGUUUGAUUGAUUAUUUAAUGGAGAAAAAUAAGAUUGCUAGUAGAACAACAGGAAGCUAGUCAGUCUUUCUGUGUCCUCCUCUGGCUAAAGUUCAUGUUCAGAACUGAUAAAGAUUUGAUAUGCAGUUACCUGGCAAAAGAAUCACUUUUCCUACAUUAUGAAACUCUCUGGAGAUGGCUUCCAGAUUGUAAGUUAUGUAAGCACAUUGCUUCAUAGUCUUUUUGUCUAAGAUGACCUGUCUACAGAGGGAUAAUUGUUUACUUCACAAAUCUUAUCUCACCUAAAGUGACUGUAAGCACUCUGAUAAUUAUGUACUUCCACAGUCACAGUUGAAAGAGCAUAUAUGGUCUUAGAAACUGAACAAUUUUGUGUGCUGGCUAUAUAACUUCUGCUGAGUAAUGAAAACGCUCAGAGCCCUAAUGAAAAGGUUUCCUAUUUAUGAAAUAGUAAUAAUAAUAAUACAUAUAUCACAAGGCUGUUGUGAUAAUUAAGCAGUGUUUUUGUAAAAGGUGUGGUAUAUAGUAAACACUUGAUAAGUGCUUAAUGGCUGUCAUAUUUCUUAUUUCAGUUUUCCAUCUAUACCUUGUUUUAAGCAAAUAACAUUUACAAAUCAGAUUUAUAAGGAAAAUUGUUUAAUCAGUGUAAUCUUAUAUGAAAUUAAUAUUGCAAAAAAGGAAUGUUUUCUCUUUACAAAAGCAUCUACAAGAAUUAUACGAAAAACUUCCAUGAUAUACUGAAACAUAUAGGUCCAUUUAAAGUUUUUGAUUUAUAAACAAAUCAUCAUGAAUACAAUUUACAAGUAAAGUAAAAAGUUAGAACUCAGCAAUUGAGUUUCUUCAGCUUGGAUUAGUGGUGUGACAGUAUUGCCUCUGCUAUGCAGACAUAGUUUUCCUUUGCAUUUUCCCAGGCUUUCUCACAGACACAGCCACCUUAUCUGUACCCACACAGAAAUGCUUUGUUAUGUGGCAACCUGCAAUUCCCCAGAGCAGGUAAGGCCAAGCUCCCUUAGAACUGCCCAUUUGACAAGCCAAUGAUAUUAAAGAUGGCUCUCGCCAUGGGUCCCCACUCCACAUUUUGCACAUUCCUCUACCAUAACACCCACAUACGUUUUAACCCUUGUUUAUAUAAUUAUUUUAAUUAUUUUUAAUCCUUGUUUAUAUGAUUAUUUCCUGAUAAAUGUCUGUUGAAUUAAUUUAUGAAGUAUCAUAUGAAAUAAUUUUUGUGGUUAUAGAUGAGGAUAGCAAUGAGAAGUGUUUUUCAAACAAAGUUGCUGAGUAAGAGUCAUUUAACAGAAUUGUAGCACUAAGCUUCUAAUUAAAAUAAAACAAUUUAAAACAU
Molecule: non-coding RNA, 2397 nt
Filed under: Pan troglodytes (chimpanzee)
Lineage: Eukaryota; Metazoa; Chordata; Mammalia; Primates; Hominidae
Source: RNAcentral